AAAAAGGCCCUUUUCAGGGUCAAACAAAUUUAAUAAAAGAAAUAU
This is a non-coding RNA of Stegodyphus mimosarum, 45 nucleotides long. Lineage: Eukaryota; Metazoa; Arthropoda; Arachnida; Araneae; Eresidae. The record is from Rfam.